Otolemur garnettii (small-eared galago) is the source of this 139-nucleotide small nuclear RNA. Its record names the gene U4. It matches the Rfam family "U4 spliceosomal RNA". From Rfam's summary of the family: U4 small nuclear RNA (U4 snRNA) is a component of the major U2-dependent spliceosome. The structure of U4 snRNA from yeast and human has been reported. The record is from Ensembl. NCBI's taxonomy places the organism in Eukaryota, Metazoa, Chordata, Mammalia, Primates, Galagidae.
AGCUCUGUGGUGGCAGUAUUGUAGCCAGUGAGGUUUAUCCAAGGUGCAAUUAAUGCUAAUUGAAAACUUUUCCCAAUACCCUGCAGUGACGACUUGCAAUAUAGUUGGCACUGGCAAUUUUUGGCGGUCUCUACAGAGA